AUUGAACGCUGGCGGCAUGCCUUACACAUGCCAGUCGAACGGCAGCACGGGUGCUUGCACCUGGUGGCGAGUGGCGAACGGGUGAGUAAUACAUCGGAACAUGUCCUGUAGUGGGGGAUAGCCCGGCGAAAGCCGGAUUAAUACCGCAUACGAUCUACGGAUGAAAGCGGGGGACCUUCGGGCCUCGCGCUAUAGGGUUGGCCGAUGGCUGAUUAGCUAGUUGGUGGGGUAAAGGCCUACCAAGGCGACGAUCAGUAGCUGGUCUGAGAGGACGACCAGCCACACUGGGACUGAGACACGGCCCAGACUCCUACGGGAGGCAGCAGUGGGGAAUUUUGGACAAUGGGCGAAAGCCUGAUCCAGCAAUGCCGCGUGUGAAGAAGGCCUUCGGGUUGUAAAGCACUUUUGUCCGGAAAGAAAUCCUUGGCCCUAAUACGGUCGGGGGAUGACGGUACCGGAAGAAUAAGCACCGGCUAACUACGUG
This 484-nucleotide ribosomal RNA is filed under the name uncultured bacterium. Its description in RNAcentral is "partial 16S ribosomal RNA". It matches the Rfam family "Bacterial small subunit ribosomal RNA", at positions 30 to 507 of the family's 1533-position model. The record is from RNAcentral.